UCUCUUCCUCCAGAUUCGAGAUGUGAUCCACUGGCAAGAGAGGACGCCAAUGGAAGGUGUCUGGAAACUGCUGACUUUGGUCUAAUGUGAUGCAAUGUUUAGAAUUGUUCUGCAAACUCAAGUGUCAUACACCUAAGUUUGUAUUACCAGAAAGUUAUGGAAGGGCUCACCCCUGGAACAGCGGUAACAAGGGCAAGCUGCUCUGCCUUCUCCCAGUCUACUCACUUUUGGACUUCUUGCUGCGGCCAAGUCUCCUUUUUGUGAAUGCAAGACUUUCAUUUGGCCUCUGCCCAGGCUUCUCUGUGCUGAAAGUCUCCCCAAAGCAGCACACUUCACAUUUCCUUUCUUUGUGUCUUCCGUGAUCGUGACCAUUUACAACGUCUGCAUUUGCACUUCUUGGCUCGUGGUUUACCACGGUGAACUCUCUCGGGGACGUUUGCAUCUUAGGUGAGAGGAAGAGUCAUUUUCUGGAACCCUUGAUUUUGGUUUACUUGGCAGUGAAUUGACUCCUUAUAGAUUUGACGGAUAUUUUACUUUUGAGAUCCUAAAAUGGAAACGUAAACAGGUCCUGGCAGAGCAAAUCAGCAGGAGUAGAGAGAGAAGGGAAGAGACUUCGAAGAUUCCCCCAUGGAAGGCCUCAUUCUCCCUGGUUCAUGGCUACUUUAGCAGUGUCAAGUAUGGUUCUAUCUCAUGAAGUGGACCUUAAAGCUGGUUGCUACUUUGCUUGAAUGAUGGAGUCCUUUGCUGUAUAUUGGCUUUUUGUCUUCAUGAAGCUUCUUCUAGAAGUAUAUGGUAAUUAACAUAGAGACCCAAAGUUGAACAACGGUAGACAAUGUGAUAAGCUGCCUCACGUGCCUGCUGCUAUGUGCUCCCUGCCGUGAUGAACUGGAUCCCUUCAAUCUACGAGUUACAAACAAAUCCUUUCUCCUUUGAGUUGCUUUUUGUCAGCCACAGACGCUCCUGUGCUGUUUAGCUCCUAUGGGGAGGUGAGCUAGGCUUGAAAGCUGUUCCAACCUUCAUUCCCAGCUCUUCGGCUCUGCACGGAGGUCCCACGGAAAGGUCUCUGGGAAUCCCUUCCUCCGUAUCUUGUGGAGCCUGCAGUGGGACCCUGAAUGAACAGCAUUGUUCUUGGGGAAGGAGGAUGGACUAUUUUCAUUCAUCCCUAAAUAAUAUCAAGCAUUGUGAAGGUCAAAGAUGCUCAGUGUGCUGUGGAGAGAAAGGCACGAAGGGACAUGGCAUCCUUAUACCAGUGGGCAUGCCUUUCCAGCACCAUGACAGCUAGCCAGCAGGGAAAGAGCUUGCAGGUCAGUACCAGCUUUACAUAUCCAUAUUAAAUUAGUCAAGUACAUGGUGUCUUCAGCAAUAGGUUCUUAUUGUCAAGUUCUAGUGGGUAGCCAAGAGAAAUGGCAGUAGCUUGUAAUGUUUGGGUAUCUGUGAGACCUCACCGGCUAAAAAUUCCUGAAGAGGUAACCGAUUUUCAAUAUUUUAUUUGUAGUCUAUGGUAUUUUUAGGGCAUUGUCAUCCUGCUAUAGGGUAGCUCCAUUUUAACAUAUGCAUAUUUAAAACACACACACACACACACACACACACACACACACAUGCACACAUGUGCACACACACACACACACAACCACAUACACAUAUGUGGAAGCUUCUACAAUAAUAGAUAGGUUUCCAUAUGGCUUCUAAAAAAGAUCUUAAGUGUUCUUUAUCCCAUCUUGUAUUCCCUCCUCUAUCCUAUCCUCCUGGCUUCCACCCCAAUUUAAUUCCAUCUUUUACUUCUCCUUUAAGCCUUUAGAGCAAUGAAUUCUGUCUCUCGCUCCAUUGAAAGUCCCCCUACCCCCAGCCUCUCAUUAAUUCCCUGACCUCUUUGGGUAGCCUGAAUGAAACAUAUGUAUCUGAAGCUUCAAACCUAACAUUCAGAAAUGAGAGAAAACACGUGAUGCCUUUCUCCAGGAUGAUUAUUUUCAGCCCUAUUAUUUACUUGUGUGUUUCAUAAUUUUGUUUUUCUUAGUAGUUGAAUAACAUUCCAUUCUGUAAAUAUAUCACAGACUCAUUAUCAAUUCACUAGUUGAUGUAUGUCUGGGCUGUUUCCAUUACUUGCCUAUUGCAAAUAAAGCAGCAAUGAACAUGGAUGAGCAAGUGUCUGUAUAGUGGAGUCCUUUGGUUGCCUUCCCAAGAGUCGUGUAAUAUAUUGACUUCUAGCUUUUUGAGGCCUCUCCACACUGAUUUCCAAAGUGGUUGUACCAGUUUGCUCUCUCACUAGCAGCCCUGGCCUUCUUCCCACCAUUUGUCUUCAUUGUACUGGUGUCUGUGUUUGAAUUGCUUGCUGUGUCUUCUGCUUUGCACUCUCUCUGAUUAGUCUUACAGGAUGUAUUGUGUGCAUCACUUCUUCUCUCACAUAUCUGGCACUGGUGGGGACAGCAGAAGUCGACUUUCUCCACUUAGCAUUGUAUUUAUGAUUACAUUAUACGAACUAUGAAGCUGGAUUAAUAGUUUAUGAAUGACCAAUUAUUCAAAGAUGUGAUUUUGAGAUCACUGUGCUACUGGAACUAUACAUUGUAAAUUUUUGGAUAUAUUUACUACCUUCCUUAGUCAUUGAGCACCAUGGGGAGACAAGUGGACUUUGUUUCUCCAGUGAGAUCUAAGUAAUUACUUGAGUAGAUGAAUGUACAAACACACAAGCAGAGGAAGAGACUGAUUGUCACUGACAAUUAUUUUGGGACAUUCUGAUACUUUAUAUAGUAAUUAAUGAAUAGUUUUGAUUUAUGUAUGGUUCUUUAUAUUUAAUGACAUAACUUGUACAAUAUUUUAAAACAGAACUAAUCCAAUAUUCUGAUAUAUGUGGUAUGUUAGAAUAAUAACUAAAUGGUUGAGAAAAUACUUAAUAGGGCCAACUCCUGGCAUCUCUUUAGAAGUUGUGCCAACAGUUUACCUUCAGACAAUCUAAAAAACCAAUCUCUUUCUGAAAAUCUCAAAGAAAAAAACCAAACAAACCAAAAACAUUGUCUUAGUGAAAAGAGUGUUGUUUGGGCUCUUCAGUGUUUUCUGACUUGACAGCAUGACAUAGUAUAUAUAUUACAUCAGUGUGCUUACUGUCAACUUCCAAUCUUUCUGCUCUGUCCUUGUGCAUUGUUGCAGAUGGAAUGCAGCCCAGCCUGUAAAUGUGUGGAGGCAAUGGGCCCUGCAUUUGGUGAUAAAUGCAAGGGCACUCAAGACAUGCCUCAGGUUGACAUGUAAUACCUAAUUCAAAGUUUCAUUAUCAUUAAAAUAAAAAGGCAGGAGGUAGUGAAUAGGAAAAGGAAAGGUAAUUCAUAGCACAGAUGGUGUCCUGGGCUUUCAUAUGUCCUGCUUUAUGCAGCAAGGCCAGCCUUCGACUGCAGCAUCCUUCAUGGCUACACACAUUGACUUUGACAUUUCCCUUUGAUAGAUGCGUGGCCAGUGCUUGUGACUACACUCUUUUUCAUUUAUUUGGCUGAAACAAAUAGUCAGUCUUCCAUUUUUAUGUUCCAUACUUCAUUAAGAGGAUCUCUGCUGAUGCCCAUUUACAGAGGAAAUUAGCUGAAUAGGAAAGAAAUCAAUUUUCACUCAUGUGAAGCAAUGAAAUCAUAAUCUCAGAAAUCUAAGACACAUGUCCUACAUUGCUCUCAUCAAGAGGCUAACAGCCUCUGAAAUAUGACGUGGCUCAUGCACUGUUCUCAGAGUCCUCCAAUUACAUACCUGGAAAUACUUAUGACCUCAAUUAUGUUAUUUAUUAAAGGCAGAUGAAGUUUCCCCUCAUGUAAUGCACAUUUAAAAACAUUUGCUCUUUAAAAUAUUUGAAAAGUUCUAUUUAUAUUUAUUUUACAACUGUUUGCCUAUAUAUAUGUAACUGUACCACAUGGAAGCAGUACCCUCAAAGGUUGGAAGAGGGCAUCUGGUCCCCCAGAGCUGUAAAACUACAUAUGGUUGUGAGCCACCAUGUGGAUUCUGGGAACUGUAUCCUGUCUCUCUCAAAGACAGCACAUACUCUUAACCACUGAGCCAUCUGUCCAGCCCCUAAAUAUUUAUUAUUUUGUAAAAUAUUUUUUACCCUUCACCCUUCUUCUUCCAUAUUAAAAAACAGUAAGGAUAUCUGAAAAGUCAUAAGGGAGUUAUAAUAUUAAAAAACCUAUAGUAUAUAUAAUUCUGUGCAUAAAUAUACAUAUAUAGUUUAAGUGAAAAAUUCCCUAUCUGGGUUGAGAGCCAAAGACCACCUAACAAAAACUGCAAUAUGAGAAACUGUCUUUUUAGUUGUUGGUCAGGGUUGUCCAAGAGACUUCUAAAAUAUUACAGGUUAUUGCUUUUGCCCUUCGUUGCUCCUGAGUGGUUUAAGUUAAGUUCCUAUUGCUAAAGAUACCAUGCACUUUAGACACAGGGCCCUGAGGCCAGUGAGAUGGAACUGAUCUGAAGCCUUCUUCCCGAGGACUAGCUUUAAGGGAGUGGAAGAGCAUCAUGCAAGCUUCCAAAGGAGUCAAUCAACCAAUACUCUUACCUAGCUAUGAAGCAUAUGCGCUACAAAAUGACCAGCAUGGCAUGGUAACCCUAAGGGUGCAGUAGUUGUACAUGUACCAGGGUGGUAACAACACAUCUUUAAUUGAACUUAAGACUCACUCAGCAAUAGGGAAACAAUGCCUGGUACUGGAAACUUAGGCAACUCCUCAGGAUUAGUGAACUCACAGACCUUAGGGCAGAACCUAUAACCAUCAAGUUCCUGAACCAGCACAAUCAUCUCUAACUACAUUCUAAACAUUUGUCCCUAUAACUGGAGAUAAGUCUCACCUCUCAUCAGCAGAUCACAGCCAAAGAUACAGCAGAAAGAUCAUAAACAUUUAUUCUCAAUUAGCUUUUUUUGUAUAUGUUAAAGACAAGAUAUAAAACACUAGAUGAAGGUCAAGAAAUGAGAGAUUGGCCAGCAGGAAGUACAUUGGGGAGUGCAGGUUGAAGUCAGCAGUCACAGAGAACACAAUGAGGAGGUUCCCCAUCAGACUUGUUGUAUAGAACACCGAAGAAAACAGAAAGAGAAGUAACUGGAUUCCCCAUGUAUUGGAGAGUACCAGGAACACAAAUUCAGAUACAACAGAGUGAUUGUUUCCAUCCAUUGCACUGGAGAACAGAGCUGUUCCAACAAAACCUGAAAAAGGCAGAGAAGAGAAAAAGCAUGUUUUUUUGUGGAGUUAGUAACUUCAUCAAUUUUGCCUUAUGCAAGCAAAAGCCAUUGCUGCAUAGAGUCAUUACACCUCAGCAUAACUGCAAAAAAUUGAGAGUCACUCCAUGCAAUGAACCACCACAUCUAUUGUCCUUUAUUUCCUAACAUUAUCCAAAUAAAGACUGUGGAAUAUUUAGGGAUAAGUAUUAGAAAAGAAAAAAAUGACUGGCCUGAAGAAAGACUAUGAAAAGACUAAAGACUUAUUGACAAUAAUAUACAUGGAAUAAAAUAUAAAUGAGAAGAAUAAAAACACUAAAUGAUGUAAAAAGCAAAAGAGUCGUGUGAUAUCUGUUGUUCACUUGUUGGAUUCAUGAUUUCUAGGCAAGAUAUUUAUUCUUCUUUGUUUUCAGGUGUCAUCUAUAAAAUCAUAAUGAUGAAUCAUUAUACGCCACUUUGUUUCUUGACACUGUAGUACGUCAUUUCCAUAUAACUCAUUGAAUACUCACAGAAGAUCUAUGAAAUAUUUUCUAUUAUUUUAAAUGAUCUAUUAUUUUAAUACUUGAGGAAUGGAGGCCAUAGCAAGAGCAGUAACUUCUCUGAAGUCAGACAUCUGGUCAUGUCAUGGAAGUGUGCACUGGAGUAUGUUGGCUUUAGGGUUGGUGCUUUAAAGGACUACCCUAUAGUUCUUCCAGCAACUUAGUGAGCAUGUUUUCACUGUUGAGUAGGAAAGAGAAGUGAUAUCUAGAAACUAGAAGAUCAUUUUGUAUAAAAUUUGUUUUCUUGCCCAGAAUCUGUGGGAGGUGUUCAUUCAUACACAAAGCCAGGAUACAUCUGUUUGUAAAAGCCUUUCAUGAAACACUUUCUUGAAAGUCUUAAGAAUCACCAUCACUGAAAGGACAAAAAUUAGACAGUGUGGUUGAACCUGGCUCUGCACCUUUGAAAGAAUUUCCACCUCUUAAUGAUUUGGGACUCACUCAACCAUAACAACUAUUUUCUAGGGACACAAAUCCUGGAUUGGAUAAAAAAAAUAUGUAUGAUGGCUAUAUGCUUCGACAUGGCAGCUGCUUCCAUACAGACAUAGAGGAAGCGAUGACAGCAUGCAUUUGACCAUGGACAGAGCUGCAUUUGGUCUGGAACCAGAAUAAUAUUGCAGCUGCCAAUCAGUGGUGACAGUUGGGUUUUGUGUGAAAAUGUGGUCACUGAGAAAACUUUAAAAUGACAGAGAAGAUGCUUUACCUCCAGUAACAAUUUCACCAGCACCAGCAAUUUCACAGUGUUCCAGAGGAGGAAGUUUGUGGCAUUUGGGUUCCAAAGGACAGAGCUUGAAUCUGGGACCUGUCAUUUCAUUGCCAUUUGACGUUGGGACAUUUCCUGUGCUGUCUACAAACUGGCUAGCAGUUGCUUACCUUAGAGGAACGUCUUGUAAUUUGUAUGUUUUGUGUUCUUUAGGCAUAGUUAUUACUGUCAUGAAGGACUCAUUAGAUAUGUACUGUUUUUUUUUCUGUUUAGCUUUUUAUUAAAUCAGUCAAAGUGACAUAUUUUUACACAGUAUCAACAAAUAUUCUGUGACAUUUCCCCCCUUUUGUCUAAAUAAAAAAGAAAGAUUUUAACUUCAAUGUACUAAACCUAUAAACAAUAAGAACAAUUAUCAGAUAAGAAUUACAUUCACAAUGUCCAGUCCAGUUGUAUUUGGCAAAUUUAAAGAAAAUACUCUAUUAUUUAUCUUAUCUUGGUCAGUCCAAAGUUUUGUAUCUAUUUUUUUUUUAUGCAUCAAUGGCAGCAACAGUGAUAUGUACUAUUUAUGAGUAUGUAGUUCUUCCUUUUCUAGUUUUCAGUUUCACACUCAUAUUUUUUUGAUUGCUACAUCUAAAAGUUUAAGGUGAUAUUUCCUUGAUUUUUAAUAUUCUAAUCAGAGACAUUGUUUUAACAAACAACAUAUGCCCAUGCAGACGACAAAAUGAGAUGAAACUACCAGGGAAUGGAUAAUAGAAAAGAAAACCUCAAAGGAAUUAGAAUGUAUUAUUCAUGCUUUGCAUUCUCCUCAACCAUAAGAGUCUGGAAUAUUCAACUGUGCUUUAGUAGUUAUCUCUUAGUCUCUACUGAUUGCAACUCUCAAGUUGCUAGACACACCGAAAAGAGUGACUUUGUGGGCCACACUUGGCUAGUUAUUUUGUCUCUCUCACUAGGUGGAUUCAUUAACACUUCAAGAAAAACAUCACCCUCUUCCCGUUGGAAGAGACAAAGUGUAAAUAUGAGGACCUUUGUGGCUUCACCCACCUCCGUGCAAUAAAAGAAAUUGCAACAGGAAAGUAUGGAACCAGAAUACAGAGAGAGCAAAGCUGAAAUAAUGGAGUUAGAAAGCCCCAAGAGGCUGCAGGGGGCUGUUUGUGGAGCAGGCUGUUCCCAAGCCUGGUUUUACCUCUAAUUGUCUUAGGUAUUGGACAGGUAUUUAGGUGUGCCUAACAACCAUGUACCAGGCAGUGUUUGAGGCUUUUAGGAUUCAACAAGUUGAAAAACUCAAACCAAACAUGACUGGAAGAAAACAAACAAAUAAAAAAUCAAAAAGCA
Molecule: non-coding RNA, 7735 nt
Organism: Cricetulus griseus (Chinese hamster)
Lineage: Eukaryota; Metazoa; Chordata; Mammalia; Rodentia; Cricetidae
Source: RefSeq, a predicted model, not a curated record